AUUGAACGCUGGCGGCAGGCCUAACACAUGCAAGUCGAGCGGAUGAGGGGAGCUUGCUUCCUGAUUCAGCGGCGGACGGGUGAGUAAUGCCUAGGAAUCUGCCUGGUAGUGGGGGACAACGUUUCGAAAGGAACGCUAAUACCGCAUACGUCCUACGGGAGAAAGUGGGGGAUCUUCGGACCUCACGCUAUCAGAUGAGCCUAGGUCGGAUUAGCUAGUUGGUGAGGUAAAGGCUCACCAAGGCGACGAUCCGUAACUGGUCUGAGAGGAUGAUCAGUCACACUGGAACUGAGGCACGGUCCAGACUCCUACGGGAGGCAGCAGUGGGGAAUAUUGGACAAUGGGCGAAAGCCUGAUCCAGCCAUGCCGCGUGUGUGAAGAAGGUCUUCGGAUUGUAAAGCACUUUAAGUCGGGAGGAAGGGCUGCAGGUUAAUACCUUGCAGCCUUGACGUUACCGACAGAAUAAGCACCGGCUAACUUCGUGCCAGCCGCCGCCGUAA
RNAcentral lists this ribosomal RNA (500 nucleotides) under uncultured bacterium. Its description in RNAcentral is "partial 16S ribosomal RNA". It matches the Rfam family "Bacterial small subunit ribosomal RNA", at positions 30 to 523 of the family's 1533-position model. The record is from RNAcentral.